AUGUAGCUCAGUGACAAAACACUUGCCUAGCAUGUGUUUGGCUGGGUUCAACCCCAGAACUCGAAGAAAAAAAAAAAAAGACUACAAGAGACAAGAGAAGACAUAGAGAGAGUGCACAAGGCCAACUCCUUGAAGAACCUUUGGGAAGAGAAUGACUCAAGCCACAUUGUGUGCAGUCUGCAGCAUAUUUAUGAAAGGCAAAUGUGUUCAAGGCAAGGGUAACUGUACCCUGGAGGAAGGUGGUCGAUGCAGAACCAGGGACAUCUAUUUUUUCAACACACAAGGUAAUGCUAUGGAAAGGUCUAAGGUAGCCCUUUGCAGGAGAUAUACACUUUUCUACUUUGGAGACCAGGCUUGAUGUGGUGGGGAAGAUCCUUUCAGUUUGAGCCCCAGGUAUUGUUUUCUGGCACUAAGUAUGAAAGCUUUUCUUUUCCAGAUGGAUAUGCCUACAACC
Molecule: long non-coding RNA, 454 nt
Filed under: Fukomys damarensis (Damara mole-rat)
Lineage: Eukaryota; Metazoa; Chordata; Mammalia; Rodentia; Bathyergidae
Description: lncRNA (ENSFDAG00000025677.1)
Source: RNAcentral